ACCAAUGGCCCCCCGAAGCCAAAUAACCAUUUUACUGCACCUUUCAUGGAAAGCAACACCAUCAUAGGAUAGACUGGUGUCCAAUCUCACUUGAUGUCAAGGCCAAAAGAGAGGCGGAGAAAAAUGCAGCCGAAGAAGCAGCACAAGCAGCAGCUCAAGCACCCAAAACUAUUCAUCACACCACCUUUUUAACUCACCCAGCAUACUACCCAUGUCCAACUAACCUCGCAAACUUCCCACCAACAAUAGCCUGGCAAUCUUCAC
This 264-nucleotide long non-coding RNA is filed under the name Setaria viridis. RNAcentral describes it as "long non-coding RNA (SVIR_LNC010736)". Lineage: Eukaryota; Viridiplantae; Streptophyta; Magnoliopsida; Poales; Poaceae. The record is from RNAcentral.